RNA transcript from Haliotis rubra (blacklip abalone), 1383 nucleotides. It is a transcript of the gene named sodium-coupled monocarboxylate transporter 2-like, with no coding region annotated. The transcript is spliced from 14 exons. NCBI's taxonomy places the organism in Eukaryota, Metazoa, Mollusca, Gastropoda, Lepetellida, Haliotidae. The record is from RefSeq and is a predicted model, not a curated record.
CCUGUGUAUAUUUCUAGAUCGUUUUCACCGCCGUAGUUUUGCUGUCACCUGCAUUAUCAAUUCAAACAGCUACAGGUUUACCAUUUUGGGUGUCGGUCGUCAUUGUGGGAUUAGUUGGAAUCGUGUACACGUCAAUGGGCGGCAUCCGAGGGGUGGUCCUCGUUGAUGUCUUUCAGGCGGCCAUCAUCAUGUUUGGUAUAUUCUUCGUUCUCGUGAAGGGUGUUCAUGAAGUUGGAGGUCUGGACACAACAUGGACCUUGGCGAAGGAAGGAGGCAGAAUUCCACCUGUCGACUUCGACCCUGAUCCCCGUAUCCGCCAUUCCUUCUGGGCCCUUACUUUGGGUGGACUGUUCACGUUCUUUGGCUACACAUUCGAUCAGUCUGCCAUUCAGAGGAUCUGUGCAAUACCUAAAAUGUCCGGAGCCAAAACUGUGUACGCUCUCAACAUAUUCAUCGUCAGUACCUACAUCAUAUGUGUGUGCUUUAUGGGAAUCGUAGCUUACAGUUACUUUGCGACGAUAGGGUGUGACCCCUUCAAAGCCGGUAUACUAACAAAUAGCAAUCAGUUGAUGCCGUAUUUUGUCAUGAAGAUCUUUGAAGAUUUCCCUGGUAUGUCAGGAAUCUAUCUGGCAACAAUCUUCAGUGGUGCGCUCAGUACAAUAUCAUCAAUCACGAACGGUCUUGCUGCAAACACCAUAGAAGAUAUACUGAAACGCCCAUUUGAGAAGUGCGGGACAUCGGAAUCAGUGAAGCUGCUCACAGCAAAACUAGCAGUGUGGUUUUACGGUGGCGUCUGUAUAGGUUUGGCUUUCCUGUUAAAAGAUUUGUCAGGUACAAUCAUACAGACAGCGAUAGCCCUGUUGGGAGCUUGUGGCGGACCAAUAGUUGGGACGUAUUUCCUUGGCGCGCUCUUCCCAUGGACAAAUAAAAUUGGAGCCAUUGUUGGGAGUGCUCGUGGCCCUAGCCCUGAAUAUAUGGUUGACUGUCGGGGCAACAUUGUACGGCCACCCACCCGUGAAGCUACCCCCAGCCCCUGGAAACUCAUGUGACAUCCUCAUUUCCGGUAACAUGACUUCACCAUACACGACGACAACACCAACCAUCACAAGCACCUUGUCGUCAAGCGACGUCACCACCGCCGACCCUAAAGGCAGUGUGUUCGAUAUCUCUUACCAAGAUUAUGGGCUGAUUGGAUGGUUGAUAGCCGUGUUUGUGGGAUCGAUUGUUAGCCUUGUGACAUGCAGGAUGUACCCGCGCAUCAAGGAUGAGAGGUUCCUGUUUCCCUUUGUACGACCAUUGUGGAGAAUCAAGAACUCGGAGAAAACAGAGCAACAAGAGAACAGUCAUGUUGGACAGAAGCAGAAAGAAGGCGAUGUCUGGAGC